GAUGAACGCUGGCGGCGUGCCUAAUACAUGCAAGUCGAGCGGUAAGGCCCUUCGGGGUACACGAGCGGCGGACGGCUGAGUAACACGUAGGAACGUACCCCAAACUGAGGGAUAAGCACCAGAAAUGGUGUCUAAUACCGCAUGUGGCCUUCGGGCUAAAGCUCCGGCGGUUUGGGAACGGCCUGCGUCCGAUUAGCUAGUUGGUAGUGUAAUGGACUACCAAGGCGACGAUCGGUAGCUGGUCUAAGAGGAUGAUCAGCCAGACUGGGACUGAGACGCGGCCCAGACUCCUACGGGAGGCAGCAGUAGGGAAUUUUCCACAAUGGGGGCAACCCUGAUGGAGCAACGCCGCGUGCAGGAUGAAGGCCUUCGGGUUGUAAACUGCUUUUAUCUGUGACGAUUAUGACGGUAGCAGAUGAAUAAGGACCUGCUAACUACGUGCCAGCAGCCGCGGUAA
Molecule: ribosomal RNA, 457 nt
Filed under: uncultured bacterium
Lineage: Bacteria
Description: partial 16S ribosomal RNA
Rfam family: Bacterial small subunit ribosomal RNA
Source: RNAcentral